UGCUCUGUGGGAUCAGUGGCGAACGGGUGAGUAACACGUGAGCAACCUGCCCCUGACUCUGGGAUAAGCGCUGGAAACGGCGUCUAAUACUGGAUAUGUGACGUGAUCGCAUGGUCUGCGUCUGGAAAGAAUUUCGGUUGGGGAUGGGCUCGCGGCCUAUCAGCUUGUUGGUGAGGUAAUGGCUCACCAAGGCGUCGACGGGUAGCCGGCCUGAGAGGGUGACCGGCCACACUGGGACUGAGACACGGCCCAGACUCCUACGGGAGGCAGCAGUGGGGAAUAUUGCACAAUGGGCGCAAGCCUGAUGCAGCAACGCCGCGUGAGGGACGACGGCCUUCGGGUUGUAAACCUCUUUUAGCAGGGAAGAAGCGAAAGUGACGGUACCUGCAGAAAAAGCGCCGGCUAACUACGUGCCAGCAGCCGCGGUAAUACGUAGGGCGCAAGCGUUAUCCGGAAUUAUUGGGCGUAAAGAGCUCGUAGGCGGUUUGUCGCGUCUGCUGUGAAAUCCGGAGGCUCAACCUCCGGCCUGCAGUGGGUACGGGCAGACUAGAGUGCGGUAGGGGAGAUUGGAAUUCCUGGUGUAGCGGUGGAAUGCGCAGAUAUCAGGAGGAACACCGAUGGCGAAGGCAGAUCUCUGGGCCGUAACUGACGCUGAGGAGCGAAAGGGUGGGGAGCAAACAGGCUUAGAUACCCUGGUAGUCCACCCCGUAAACGUUGGGAACUAGUUGUG
RNAcentral lists this ribosomal RNA (730 nucleotides) under Microbacterium maritypicum. Its description in RNAcentral is "bacterial SSU rRNA". It matches the Rfam family "Bacterial small subunit ribosomal RNA", at positions 80 to 824 of the family's 1533-position model. Lineage: Bacteria; Bacillati; Actinomycetota; Actinomycetes; Micrococcales; Microbacteriaceae. The record is from RNAcentral.